CGAUGGUGUCUCAUGGGCUGACCUCCAAAGGAAUGGACGUCGCGCCCAAACCUUCCACUUUUUCCCUUGAUACCCGAUGAGCCGACACAAGAGGACAAAGUUUGCGCAGGAGCUUCAAGACGUCGGGAUGGUGAAUGGUUUCUCCUACUAGACAGUACCUGCCACUAGCUGAAGGGCUUUCAAGAGCUAGAAUAUGGACGUCGGCAACAUCUAGGACGUCGACAAAAUCGAAAUACUCGAAAGGAAAUUUAGGUCCUGCAUUACAUAAGCCUCAAUUACUCUGAAAUCAGAAUUGGUGAGGCGCUCUGCAUUAGGAGAAUCACUUAUCACAUGUAGAUCGUGUUUAUUGUCGCAUUCAUAGGAUGGGAUUAUCAAUAAAUGGGUUAUUUAUUGCUCACCAUAUUUCACUUCAUGGCAAAAGACACGAUAGAUCAACAUCAAAAUGAAUACCCUUGACGAGGUUCGGUAUGUACCUUGCUGAGAGAUUGAUAGUAGGCUGCAAGAGAGGGCCGAUUACAUGUCCCGGAUUUAUCACGACCAGAUCGAUCCCGCUCUCUUUAAGGAAAUCCCAAGCUGCCUUCUCCGCCAAGGUUUUGGCAAGCAUGUACC
This is a long non-coding RNA of Rhodamnia argentea, 609 nucleotides long. RefSeq lists it as uncharacterized. Lineage: Eukaryota; Viridiplantae; Streptophyta; Magnoliopsida; Myrtales; Myrtaceae. The transcript has 3 exons. The record is from RefSeq and is a predicted model, not a curated record.